Sebastes umbrosus (honeycomb rockfish) is the source of this 320-nucleotide long non-coding RNA. RefSeq lists it as uncharacterized. The transcript is spliced from 3 exons. Lineage: Eukaryota; Metazoa; Chordata; Actinopteri; Perciformes; Sebastidae. The record is from RefSeq and is a predicted model, not a curated record.
AAACUGCACUCUUGUUUAGAGUUGCAGUUCCUUCUCAAACCUGAGAGGCAGAGAUGCACUAAAGCAGUAUGUAGCCUGCAAAAAAAAAGGCGCGAAGAAGAAGAAGUUUGAGCAGGUGAACCUACAGGUGAAACAAACUGUUUUUCUACAGUCAGUCUAUGGAAGCAACACGUCUCUGGAGCGUCGUCGUGAAAGAUGUGACAUGGGUGAUUUUAUCAAAGUGUUUGCAAGCAAACACAAGAACAGGCGAAUUGCACUGUUUUAACCCUCCUGUUUUCCUCAGGUCAAGGAAGGAAGGAAGAAGGGAGGGAGGAAGGAAG